GGAAAAUCUCGUAAGGGUGUAUGGUGGAUGCCUUGACUCAAGAAGACGAUGAAGGACGUAGCAGCCUGCGAUAAGCCUCGGUAAGGUGGCAAGCAACCUUUGACCCGAGGAUUUCCGAAUGGGGAAACCUAUCCUGUUGAAGACAGGAUGUCCGCUCGCUGAACACAUAGGCGAGUGAGACGAUAACCCGGUGAACUGAAACAUCUUAGUAGCCGGAGGAAAAGAGAACAAUUUGAUCUUUUAUCAAGAUUGGUGACCUUUCACCGAUGUUGAUAAGAGAUUGCGAUUCCCCGAGUAGUGGCGAGCGAAAGGGGAGCAGCCCAAACCAUUAAAACCACGUAUAUGUUUUUCACUUUUGUGAGACGCGUAUGCUGAAGGAAUUAGGUCCAUAUGUUUUAGCGGUGUAGCAAGAUGGUCGUGCUUACUACCUAAUGCGGUAAGGUAACGACAGAUUUUAUUAGUUGAAUUGAGCUGGAAAGCUCGGCCAGAGACGGUGAUAGCCCGGUAAGCGAAAAUAAUUUCUGCGUUAUGAUGACAUAUUCUUAAGUAUUGCGAGACUCGUGAAAUCUCGUGAGAAUCCGGGUCGACUAUGACCCAAGGCUAAAUACUUCUUGAGAUCGAUAGUGAACUAGUACCGUGAGGGAAAGGUGAAAAGCAUCCCGGUAAGGGAGAUGAAAUAGUAUCUGAAACCAUAUACUUACAAGCAGUCGGAGCGUGCUUCGCUUUCGCGAAUCACGAGUUAAAAGUAAUAAUGUUAUAAAGUUGUAAAGUAAAUUUUUUAAAAAAACUUUAUAAACUUUUAACUUUUUAACUUUUUAAACUCGCGCCGCGUAAGCGGAGUGCGUGACGGCGUGCCUAUUGAAGAAUGAGCCAACGAGUUUGUUGUAUGCGGCUUGAUUAAUUCGCUUAAAGCGAAGAAGUCACAGUGAAAGCGAGGGUUAAUAGCCCGUACUCUUACUUAUUAGAAACGAUAACAAGUUAGUUAAAAGUUAUAAAGUUCAUAAAGUUAUAAAGUUGUAUUUUUAAUGCAUACUUUAUAACCUUAUAACUUUUUACUUUAUAAACUUCUGUUGCGUAAGCAACAGCUUGUUGUCUUUCUAAUAUGUAAGAAGGUCGCAUGCACAAGACCCGAAGCCGGGUGAUCUAACCAUGGCCAGGUUGAACCUUGACGAAAGUCAAGGGGAGGACCGAACCCGUGAGUCGUGCAACACUCUGGGAUGAGUUGUGGUUAGCGGAGAAAUUCCAAUCGAACUCGGCAAUAGCUGGUUCUCCUCGAAAUAGCUUUAGGGCUAGCCUCGAGCGCUUAACAUAGGGGGUAGAGCACUGAAUGGAAACGGGCCGCAAGGUACCGUUUUCAACCAAACUCCGAAUACCUAUGCGUGUAGCUCGGGAGUCAGACUAUGGGCGCUAAGGUCCAUUAGUCUAAAGGGAAACAGCCCAGAUCGCCAUCUAAGGUCCCUAAAUAUAAACUAAGUGUAAAAGGUGGUGUCGUGACUGCGACAACUAGGAGGUUGGCUUAGAAGCAGCCAUCCUUUAAAGAUAGCGUAAUAGCUCACUAGUCUAGUCGUCUCGCGCCGAAAAUGUACCGGGGCUAAGUUUAUUACCGAAGAUGCGAACUCAUCACGCAAGUGAUGAUUGGUAGAGGAGCAUUCUAAUACCGCUGAAGUCACGAUGUGAGUCGUGGUGGAGGGAUUAGAAGAGAGAAUGUUGGCAUAAGUAGCAAAAAGGCAGGUGAAAACCCUGCCCACCGAAAAUCUAAGGGUUCCUGGGCAACGCAAAUCGACCCAGGGUGAGUCGGUCCUAAGGCGAGGCUGCUGUAGUGGCAGCGUAGUCGAUGGAUGAGCUGGUUAAUAUUCCAGCACUACUGUAAUUUUCCGAUGGGGGGACAAAGUUUUGAGGUUCAAGCGUUUCUAUGGUAUGAACGUCGCUUGCUAUAAGGACUGAUCUAGGCAAAUCCGGAUCACUAGUCUAAGCAGUCGGCGGGAGAUGAAGCCUUCGGGUGGAAUCAAUUUGAGCGGAGAAAUUUUCAAGAAAAACCUCUAGGGCUAAGGUUACAGUAACCGUACCGCAAACCGACACAGGUAGAUGAGGCGAGGAGCCUCAGGUGUACGAGAGAACCCUCGUUAAGGAACUCGGCAAAACAGCGGUCGUAAGUUAGCAAUAAGACCUGCCCGGAGCAAUCCGGGCCGCAGCGAAAGAUUCCAAGUGACUGUUUAGCAAAAACACAGCUCCCUGCUAACUCGCAAGAGGAUGUAUAGGGGGUGAUGCCUGGCCAGUGUCCGAACGUUAAGAGGAGAGGUCAUUUUCCUUCGGGAAGAGAAGCUUUGAAUUGAAGCGCGGAUGAACGCCGGCCGUAACUAUAACGGUCCUAAGGUUCUGUUGCCUAAGAAAUUAAGCAGCAGAAGGACUAGGACUGUUGUAGAUUGAAUAUGCUGCCUAACUAUGUAAAUAGUUGUCCCUAAAAUUUGGCUAUAUGCUGGAAAAUCUGUGGUUAAAAACCUGUAGUAUCGAGUACUACUUCUUAUAAUAAAAAUUUAAAGUUUUUUUAUGAUAAAAAGUGAAAAUGUAUCUCGUGCAGACAAUCAGCAGGAAAGACUAAGAAGACUAAUGUUAAUUGGUUGGAUAGUUGGAUUCGUUGAUGGUGAAGGAUGUUUUUCUAUUGGCAUUUUUAUGCAACAAGAUAGAGAAGAACAGAAUAGAAUCAGACGAGGCUAUGCAACUGGUUAUCAAGUUUUUCAUGAGUUUUCAGUGACUCAGGGCGAAAAGAGUAAAUCUGCUUUAGAAGAAUUACAAAAUUUUUUUCAAGUAGGCAAAUUAUAUCUUAAUAAACGUCAUGACAAUCAUACAGAAAACUUAUGGAAAUAUGUGGUAAGAAAAAGAAUCGAUUUAAUAAAUGUGAUAAUUCCUUUUUUUAUGGAAAAUAAAUUACGAACUUCAAAAAAUUUAGAUUUUUUAAAGUUUGUGAAAUGUUUAGAAAUAAUUAAUCAAGGUGAGCAUUUAACAAGAGCGGGAGUAAUAAAAAUAGCAGAAAUUGCCGCAACAAUGAAUCGAAGAAAAUCACGAGAUAGUAUAAUUAGAAUCCUCAGAGACUACAUGCCAAAUCCGUCUUAAGACGGAAAGAUAUAGUCCGGACUGUAUAGCGAUAUACAGGUUCUGAAAUAAUCAGGACGCCAUAAUAUAUAUAUUAUGGUAACAACUCAAGCGAAAUUCCUUGUCGGGUAAACAUGUCGGACUCUGUUUUUACAGAGACAUAACUUGCCCGAAAACGCAGUAAUGCGUUCAAGUAAACUGACUCAUAACGGUGAAACUCCUACUUGUAAAAGAGGACAAUACCGUGGGAACCCAUGUAAUAGUGGGACCCGUAACGACUGAAUCGAAAGAUGAGACUUCUGUAAAGAAGUAACACGUCAGCUCUUGUUAAAAAUAGUCAUCCACGGAGAAAUAACUAAAAUAUAUGGAUAUUAACUCAUAUAUAACUGGCUUUGUAGAUGGAGAAGGUUGUUUCUUAGUUUCAUUUUCUCUCCGGAGUAAAAUGAAAUUAGGUAUAGAAGUAAGACCAAGCUUUUCUGUUAGUCAACAUAAGCGCAGUCAAGAUAUUAUCUUUUUCCUCCAACGAUUUUUUCGUUGUGGAGGUGUAAGAUUCUCCAAUAAAGAUCAAAACUAUAAGUAUGAAGUUAGGAAUAUUACUGAAUUAGUAAAAAUAAUUAUUCCUCAUUUUAAGAAGUAUCCCUUAAUGACUGCUAAAAAAGAUGAAUUUGAAAGAUUUGCAAAAAUUUGUGAAUUAAUAUAUUCAAAUCAUCAUCUUUCUAAAGUAGGCUUAGAGGAAAUACUUAUGUUAAGUGAAAAAUUAAAUAUCGAUGGUAAUAAAAAGUAUCGUCGAACUGAUCUCCUAAAGAUGAUAACAAGAUGAAAGUAUAGUCUAAUCAUCAUAGUAAUAUGAUGCUAAUAAUGAAGUUCCGACCUGCACGAAUGGCAUAACAACUUGGAAACUGUCUCAACGAGGGACUCGGCGAAAUUACAAGACCAGUAAAGAUGCUGGUUAACCAUAGUUGGACGAAAAGACCCCGUGAAGCUUUACUAUAGCUUGAUAUUGGGUUAGGGAUAUAUCUGUUCAGAAUAGGUGGGAGCUUCGGCACCAGUGAGAUACCACCCUGAUAUAUUCUUAAUUCUUACUUUGAUCCGUGAAUCCGGAUAGAGGACAGUAUCUGGUGGGUAGUUUGUCUGGGGCGGAUGCCUCCUAAAAGGUAACGGAGGCGUUUACAAAGGUUGGCUAUCUCGGGAUGGAAACCCGAGAGAUAGUGUAAAGGCAUAAGCCAGCUUUACUGCAAGACCCGCAAGUCGCGCAGUUGCGAAAGCAGAACUUAGUGAUCCGACCGUACGAAAUAGAACGGCGGAAGCUCAUCGGAUAAAAGCUACUCCGGGGAUAACAGGCUAGUCACGCCCAAGCGUCCACAGCGACGGCGUGGUUCGGCACCUCGAUGUCGGCUCGUCGCAUCCUGGGGGUGGAGAAGCUCCCAAGGGUUGGGCUGUUCGCCCAUUAAAGCGGCACGCGAGCUGGGUUCAGACCGUUUAGAAGCUAAAUUAAUUUGGCUCUUAAACACUCUGAAUCCAGUGAUAACAGACAUCGAAUUACGGCGGCAAUAUCAAGUAAUUGGUAUUGGUAUAAAAGCUGACUCAUAUCGGUGAAAUCCUUAAGCAUAUUCCAGUUUAACCUGUCAUAUGUUAGGAUAAUACCGAGGGAAGUCACUUAUGUUAAAAUUAACGCAAUCACAAAUAGCUUAUUUAGCAGGAUUUAUUGAUGGCGAUGGUAGUAUAUAUGUGAGAUUAAAACCAAACAGUAGUUAUAGGUAUGGUUUUCAAAUAGCUCCAUAUAUUAUAUUGUUUCAAUCAGCCAAAGAUGAAGCAAAUUUUAAGAAAAUUUGUAGUCUGUUAGGUUGUGGUUAUUUGCGAAAAAGAAAAGAUGGUAUUUUAGAAUAUACUAUAGGUAGACAAGAAGAAAUUUUAGCUUUAAUUGAAAAGAUUAAACCGCAUUUGAUUUUAAAAAAUCGUCAAGCGAAUUUAAUAGAAAAAAUAUUAAAGAAUAAAGUUUUAGUAAAAAAUAAAGCUGACUUUAUUAAGUUGAUGAAUUUAGUUAAUAAGUUUGCCGAAUUGAAUUAUUCUAAAAAACGUAUCAAACAUAAGUUGACCCCUUAGAGACUUGUUUCGAAAGAAACAGAGCGUUGAAAAUAACGCUAAAACGUCGGCCUCCUACAAGCGUUGUAGGAUGAUGGUAUAGUCCAAUGCACUUAGUAAUAAGUGAGAGAGCAUGCGUAAGACAGGUCGGUCUCCUCUCCACUAUGGUCGCGGAAAUUUGAGAAGGCUCUUCCCUAGUACGAGAGGACCGGGAAGAACGAAGCUCUAGUGUGCCAGUUGUCCUACCAAGGGCAUUGCUGGGUAGCUACCUUCGGUUAAGAUAAACGCUGAAAGCAUCUAAGCGUGAAGCUGUCUUCAAGAUUAGAUUUCAUAGGUUGGUCAGAGAAUAUGACCUUGAUAGGCUCUAGGUGUAAGCCCAGCAAUGGGUUAAGCCAAGGAGUACUAAUAAACCAUCAGAUUUUCCCA
Molecule: ribosomal RNA, 5598 nt
Filed under: Candidatus Falkowiibacteriota bacterium
Lineage: Bacteria; Candidatus Falkowiibacteriota
Description: Candidatus Falkowbacteria bacterium 23S ribosomal RNA
Rfam family: Bacterial large subunit ribosomal RNA (bases 1-4636)
Source: RNAcentral